ACUCCUACGGGAGGCAGCAGUGGGGAAUUUUGGACAAUGGGGGAAACCCUGAUCCAGCCAUGCCGCGUGUAUGAAGAAGGCCUUAGGGUUGUAAAGUACUUUGUUAGGGAAGAAAAGCUAGUUUUUAAUAAAAUUAGUGAUGACGGUACCUAAAGAAUAAGCACCGGCUAACUACGUGCCAGCAGCCGCGGUAAUACGUAGGGUGCAAGCGUUAAUCGGAAUUAUUGGGCGUAAAGCGAGUGCAGACGGUUACUUAAGCCAGAUGUGAAAUCCCCAAGCUUAACUUGGGACGUGCAUUUGGAACUGGGGUGACUAGAGUGUGUCAGAGGGAGGUAGAAUUCCACAUGUAGCGGUGGAAUGCGUAGAGAUGUGGAGGAAUACCGAUGGCGAAGGCAGCCUCCUGGGAUAACACUGACGUUGAGGCUCGAAAGCGUGGGAGCAAACAGGAUUAGAUACCCUGGUAGACUGUCA
RNAcentral lists this ribosomal RNA (471 nucleotides) under uncultured bacterium. RNAcentral describes it as "bacterial SSU rRNA". It matches the Rfam family "Bacterial small subunit ribosomal RNA", at positions 335 to 802 of the family's 1533-position model. The record is from RNAcentral.